This 601-nucleotide ribosomal RNA is filed under the name Micromonospora sp. EGI 80045. RNAcentral's name for it is "bacterial SSU rRNA". It matches the Rfam family "Bacterial small subunit ribosomal RNA", at positions 147 to 763 of the family's 1533-position model. The record is from RNAcentral. Lineage: Bacteria; Bacillati; Actinomycetota; Actinomycetes; Micromonosporales; Micromonosporaceae.
CCCUCGGAAACGGGGGCUAAUACCGAAUAGGACCCACGAUCGCAUGGUUGUGGGUGGAAAGUUUUUCGGCCUGGGAUGGGCUCGCGGCCUAUCAGCUUGUUGGUGGGGUGAUGGCCUACCAAGGCGACGACGGGUAGCCGGCCUGAGAGGGCGACCGGCCACACUGGGACUGAGACACGGCCCAGACUCCUACGGGAGGCAGCAGUGGGGAAUAUUGCACAAUGGGCGGAAGCCUGAUGCAGCGACGCCGCGUGAGGGAUGACGGCCUUCGGGUUGUAAACCUCUUUCAGCAGGGACGAAGCGUAAGUGACGGUACCUGCAGAAGAAGCACCGGCCAACUACGUGCCAGCAGCCGCGGUAAGACGUAGGGUGCGAGCGUUGUCCGGAUUUAUUGGGCGUAAAGAGCUCGUAGGCGGCUUGUCGCGUCGACUGUGAAAACCCGCAGCUCAACUGCGGGCCUGCAGUCGAUACGGGCAGGCUAGAGUUCGGUAGGGGAGACUGGAAUUCCUGGUGUAGCGGUGAAAUGCGCAGAUAUCAGGAGGAACACCGGUGGCGAAGGCGGGUCUCUGGGCCGAUACUGACGCUGAGGAGCGAAAGCGUG